This 505-nucleotide ribosomal RNA is filed under the name uncultured bacterium. RNAcentral's name for it is "partial 16S ribosomal RNA". It matches the Rfam family "Bacterial small subunit ribosomal RNA", at positions 28 to 507 of the family's 1533-position model. The record is from RNAcentral.
GACGAACGCUGGCGGCGUGCCUAAUACAUGCAAGUAGAACGCACAGUUUAUACCGUAGCUUGCUACACCAUAGACUGUGAGUUGCGAACGGGUGAGUAACGCGUAGGUAACCUGCCUGGUAGCGGGGGAUAACUAUUGGAAACGAUAGCUAAUACCGCAUAAUAUUAAUUAUUGCAGGAUAAUUAAUGGAAAGGUGCAAUUGCACAACUACAAGAGGGACCGGCGUUGUAUUAGCUAGUAGGUGAGGUAACGGCUCACCUAGGCGACGAUACAUAGCCGACCUGAGAGGGUGCUCGGCCACACUGGGACUGAGACACGGCCCCGACUCCUACGGGAGGCAGCAGUAGGGAAUCUUCGGCAAUGGACGAAAGUCUGACCGAGCAACGCCGCGUGAGUGAAGAAGGUUUUCGGAUCGUAAAGCUCUGUUGUAAGAGAAGAACGGGUGUGAGAGUGGAAAGUUCACACUGUGACGGUAUCUUACCAGAAAGGGACGGCUAACUACGUG